GAUGAACGCUGGCGGCGUGCCUAACACAUGCAAGUCGAACGGGAAUCUUCGGAUUCUAGUGGCGGACGGGUGAGUAACGCGUAAGAAUCUAACUUCAGGACGGGGACAACAGUUGGAAACGACUGCUAAUACCCGAUAUGCCGCAAGGUGAAACCUAAUUGGCCUGAAGAAGAGCUUGCGUCUGAUUAGCUAGUUGGUGGGGUAAAAGCCUACCAAGGCGACGAUCAGUAGCUGGUCUGAGAGGAUGAGCAGCCACACUGGGACUGAGACACGGCCCAGACUCCUACGGGAGGCAGCAGUGGGGAAUUUUCCGCAAUGGGCGAAAGCCUGACGGAGCAACGCCGCGUGAGGGAGGAAGGUCUUUGGAUUGUAAACCUCUUUUCCCAAGGAAGAAGUUCUGACGGUACUUGAGGAAUCAGCCUCGGCUAACUCCGUGCCAGCCGCCGCGGUAA
This 452-nucleotide ribosomal RNA is filed under the name uncultured bacterium. Its description in RNAcentral is "partial 16S ribosomal RNA". It matches the Rfam family "Bacterial small subunit ribosomal RNA", at positions 28 to 523 of the family's 1533-position model. The record is from RNAcentral.